GGAUAAUGUUGUCCUGUCACACAAAAAAUAAGUGAAAGAUAGAAUAAAGUGAGUAAACAUAUGUUAAAUUUCUAUCUAAUAAAUUCCAAAAGCACUACUUUCACAUUAAAUUCUUCAGAUUAAUUUAAAAAACUCCAUCACAGUAAAUAUGGCUUUAAGAGCCAUCAUUCACUUCACCCAUAAACAAAAUUGGCAAAAACAUUUUUACAAAAAUCAAACAAAUUCACAUGAGUGCAAAUAUUCUCAAAGUUACAGGAGCACAAAGCAGGAAUGUCAGAAGUUCAUUCUGAAACCAACAAAAAAAGAAGUCUACAUCUUUUAAUGAUAACUUUGCCCCCUGCUACUCCGCUACAUUGUGCUAGGAUAAUGCAAAAGAUUUUGCAUGCCAAGAGAAGAUUUUACAGUAUUCAGGCUACACACAAAUUACUGUUAGGACUUCUAAUUAAUCAGGAAAUGAAAACAAUGUACCUCUAGUAUCCCAGGACUUUGCA
RNAcentral lists this unclassified non-coding RNA (491 nucleotides) under Hevea brasiliensis (rubber tree). The record is from RNAcentral. Lineage: Eukaryota; Viridiplantae; Streptophyta; Magnoliopsida; Malpighiales; Euphorbiaceae.